GCUUCAUCCAGCAGCAUGUUUUAAAAUCGGGAUGAUACAGAGAUUAGCGUGGCCCCUCACACAAGAGUGACAUGUCAAUUUGUAAAGCAUUUGAUAUUUUU
Small nuclear RNA from Mesocricetus auratus (golden hamster), 101 nucleotides. The record is from Ensembl. Lineage: Eukaryota; Metazoa; Chordata; Mammalia; Rodentia; Cricetidae.